This 253-nucleotide ribosomal RNA is filed under the name Trypanosoma congolense type Savannah. Its description in RNAcentral is "partial 18S ribosomal RNA". Lineage: Eukaryota; Euglenozoa; Kinetoplastea; Trypanosomatida; Trypanosomatidae. The record is from RNAcentral.
AAGGCCAAAAAGGGGGGGGGGUGGGGAGGCCACCGGGUUUUUUUCCCCCCCACCCCUUUUGGGGAGGCACGGGCUCGCUUUUCUCCCCCUUCUUCUCCCCCUGAUCCUAACUUUACCCGCCUUCCCACGUGUGUUGGGAGAGUGGAGGAGGAAGUGUGUGUGUAUGGAGGAAGAAGCUGCGGAAGGGGAAAUAUCGUCAGGCUACCUACAGCUGCAGGGGUAUGGUCACGGCUCCUCUAUGAAGCAGCGAUCG